Molecule: ribosomal RNA, 301 nt
Filed under: uncultured bacterium
Lineage: Bacteria
Description: partial 16S ribosomal RNA
Rfam family: Bacterial small subunit ribosomal RNA
Source: RNAcentral
CAGUCGCCGCGGUAAUACAGAGGAUGCAAGCGUUAUCCGGAAUGAUUGGGCGUAAAGGGCUCGCAGGCGGUUUCUUAAGUCUGAUGUGAAAGCCCCCGGCUCAACCGGGGAGGGUCAUUGGAAACUGGGAAACUUGAGUGCAGAAGAGGAGAGUGGAAUUCCACGUGUAGCGGUGAAAUGCGUAGAGAUGUGGAGGAACACCAGUGGCGAAGGCGACUCUCUGGUCUGUAACUGACGCUGAGGAGCGAAAGCGUGGGGAGCGAACAGGAUUAGAGACCCCUGUAGUCCCUGUCUCUUAUAC